AAAUAAUAUAAAUGAAUUUUUUUGGUUAUGAAUAAAUAAAUAAAACAAAUAAAAUAAUAUUUUUUAGGUGAAAUUUAAAAUAUUAAUAUUUUUUUUUUGUAAUUGAUUUCUAUAAAUUAAAUUUAAAACUAGGAUUAGAUACCCUAUUAUUACAACUUAAUAAGUAUUCCUUAUAAUUAAUAGUUAUGUUCUUUAAAAUAAAAAGAUUUGGCGGUAUUUUACACUUGUUAGAGGAACCUGUUUUAUAAUUGAUAAUCCACGAUUAGACCAACUUUUUUUUAGUUUACAUAUCGUUGUUUAAAAUAUUUUUUUAGAAUAUAUUUAAAAUUUAAAUUAUAAAUUAAUUCAGAUCAAGAUGUAGCGUAUAAAAAAGAAAUAAUGGGUUACAUUGUUAAUAAAUUUGGUAAAAAAUUUUUAAAAUUUUUGAAUAUUGGAUUUAAGAGUAAAUAUUAAUAUUUAUUAAUAUUGAAAAAAGUUCUAAAAU
RNAcentral lists this ribosomal RNA (484 nucleotides) under Chelymorpha alternans. Its description in RNAcentral is "partial 12S small subunit ribosomal RNA". The record is from RNAcentral. Lineage: Eukaryota; Metazoa; Arthropoda; Insecta; Coleoptera; Chrysomelidae.